This 72-nucleotide transfer RNA is filed under the name Ictidomys tridecemlineatus (thirteen-lined ground squirrel). Its description in RNAcentral is "Spermophilus tridecemlineatus (thirteen-lined ground squirrel) tRNA". It matches the Rfam family "tRNA". From Rfam's summary of the family: Transfer RNA (tRNA) molecules are approximately 80 nucleotides in length. Their secondary structure includes four short double-helical elements and three loops (D, anti-codon, and T loops). Further hydrogen bonds mediate the characteristic L-shaped molecular structure. tRNAs have two regions of fundamental functional importance: the anti-codon, which is responsible for specific mRNA codon recognition, and the 3' end, to which the tRNAs corresponding amino acid is attached (by aminoacyl-tRNA synthetases). tRNAs cope with the degeneracy of the genetic code in two manners: having more than one tRNA (with a specific anti-codon) for a particular amino acid; and 'wobble' base-pairing, i.e. permitting non-standard base-pairing at the 3rd anti-codon position. The record is from Rfam by way of RNAcentral. Lineage: Eukaryota; Metazoa; Chordata; Mammalia; Rodentia; Sciuridae.
UGGGGUGUGGCUCAGUGGUAGAGCACUUGCAUAGCAUAUGUGAGGCACUGGGUUCGAUUCUUAGCACCACAU